UUUUGACCUUCUUUGGGUGUAUUUUAGGUUGAGUCCCGCUGAUUCGAAUAUGAUGGUUGUGAGGGAACAGACACCGUCGGAUGCGCUUACAAUAGUCCCGAUUCAGGUUUUUGUGCCGGCAUCCCAAACAACCACUGAGACAGAUUUUGAACCAACCCCUAUGCUACAGAUUGAAGGGACUACAGAAACCACUCCUGAACCCCCCAAACAACUUCAAGAGACCACACCCACGCUUCCCCCAGCUCC
This is a non-coding RNA of Arachis ipaensis, 246 nucleotides long. NCBI's taxonomy places the organism in Eukaryota, Viridiplantae, Streptophyta, Magnoliopsida, Fabales, Fabaceae. The record is from RefSeq and is a predicted model, not a curated record.